This 2921-nucleotide ribosomal RNA is filed under the name Staphylococcus aureus. RNAcentral's name for it is "bacterial LSU rRNA". It matches the Rfam family "Bacterial large subunit ribosomal RNA". Lineage: Bacteria; Bacillati; Bacillota; Bacilli; Caryophanales; Staphylococcaceae. The record is from RNAcentral.
UUAAGUUAUUAAGGGCGCACGGUGGAUGCCUUGGCACUAGAAGCCGAUGAAGGACGUUACUAACGACGAUAUGCUUUGGGGAGCUGUAAGUAAGCUUUGAUCCAGAGAUUUCCGAAUGGGGAAACCCAGCAUGAGUUAUGUCAUGUUAUCGAUAUGUGAAUACAUAGCAUAUCAGAAGGCACACCCGGAGAACUGAAACAUCUUAGUACCCGGAGGAAGAGAAAGAAAAUUCGAUUCCCUUAGUAGCGGCGAGCGAAACGGGAAGAGCCCAAACCAACAAGCUUGCUUGUUGGGGUUGUAGGACACUCUAUACGGAGUUACAAAGGACGACAUUAGACGAAUCAUCUGGAAAGAUGAAUCAAAGAAGGUAAUAAUCCUGUAGUCGAAAAUGUUGUCUCUCUUGAGUGGAUCCUGAGUACGACGGAGCACGUGAAAUUCCGUCGGAAUCUGGGAGGACCAUCUCCUAAGGCUAAAUACUCUCUAGUGACCGAUAGUGAACCAGUACCGUGAGGGAAAGGUGAAAAGCACCCCGGAAGGGGAGUGAAAUAGAACCUGAAACCGUGUGCUUACAAGUAGUCAGAGCCCGUUAAUGGGUGAUGGCGUGCCUUUUGUAGAAUGAACCGGCGAGUUACGAUUUGAUGCAAGGUUAAGCAGUAAAUGUGGAGCCGUAGCGAAAGCGAGUCUGAAUAGGGCGUUUAGUAUUUGGUCGUAGACCCGAAACCAGGUGAUCUACCCUUGGUCAGGUUGAAGUUCAGGUAACACUGAAUGGAGGACCGAACCGACUUACGUUGAAAAGUGAGCGGAUGAACUGAGGGUAGCGGAGAAAUUCCAAUCGAACCUGGAGAUAGCUGGUUCUCUCCGAAAUAGCUUUAGGGCUAGCCUCAAGUGAUGAUUAUUGGAGGUAGAGCACUGUUUGGACGAGGGGCCCCUCUCGGGUUACCGAAUUCAGACAAACUCCGAAUGCCAAUUAAUUUAACUUGGGAGUCAGAACAUGGGUGAUAAGGUCCGUGUUCGAAAGGGAAACAGCCCAGACCACCAGCUAAGGUCCCAAAAUAUAUGUUAAGUGGAAAAGGAUGUGGCGUUGCCCAGACAACUAGGAUGUUGGCUUAGAAGCAGCCAUCAUUUAAAGAGUGCGUAAUAGCUCACUAGUCGAGUGACACUGCGCCGAAAAUGUACCGGGGCUAAACAUAUUACCGAAGCUGUGGAUUGUCCUUUGGACAAUGGUAGGAGAGCGUUCUAAGGGCGUUGAAGCAUGAUCGUAAGGACAUGUGGAGCGCUUAGAAGUGAGAAUGCCGGUGUGAGUAGCGAAAGACGGGUGAGAAUCCCGUCCACCGAUUGACUAAGGUUUCCAGAGGAAGGCUCGUCCGCUCUGGGUUAGUCGGGUCCUAAGCUGAGGCCGACAGGCGUAGGCGAUGGAUAACAGGUUGAUAUUCCUGUACCACCUAUAAUCGUUUUAAUCGAUGGGGGGACGCAGUAGGAUAGGCGAAGCGUGCGAUUGGAUUGCACGUCUAAGCAGUAAGGCUGAGUAUUAGGCAAAUCCGGUACUCGUUAAGGCUGAGCUGUGAUGGGGAGAAGACAUUGAGUCUUCGAGUCGUUGAUUUCACACUGCCGAGAAAAGCCUCUAGAUAGAAAAUAGGUGCCCGUACCGCAAACCGACACAGGUAGUCAAGAUGAGAAUUCUAAGGUGAGCGAGCGAACUCUCGUUAAGGAACUCGGCAAAAUGACCCCGUAACUUCGGGAGAAGGGGUGCUCUUUAGGGUUAACGCCCAGAAGAGCCGCAGUGAAUAGGCCCAAGCGACUGUUUAUCAAAAACACAGGUCUCUGCUAAACCGUAAGGUGAUGUAUAGGGGCUGACGCCUGCCCGGUGCUGGAAGGUUAAGAGGAGUGGUUAGCUUCUGCGAAGCUACGAAUCGAAGCCCCAGUAAACGGCGGCCGUAACUAUAACGGUCCUAAGGUAGCGAAAUUCCUUGUCGGGUAAGUUCCGACCCGCACGAAAGGCGUAACGAUUUGGGCACUGUCUCAACGAGAGACUCGGUGAAAUCAUAGUACCUGUGAAGAUGCAGGUUACCCGCGACAGGACGGAAAGACCCCGUGGAGCUUUACUGUAGCCUGAUAUUGAAAUUCGGCACAGCUUGUACAGGAUAGGUAGGAGCCUUUGAAACGUGAGCGCUAGCUUACGUGGAGGCGCUGGUGGGAUACUACCCUAGCUGUGUUGGCUUUCUAACCCGCACCACUUAUCGUGGUGGGAGACAGUGUCAGACGGGCAGUUUGACUGGGGCGGUCGCCUCCUAAAAGGUAACGGAGGCGCUCAAAGGUUCCCUCAGAAUGGUUGGAAAUCAUUCAUAGAGUGUAAAGGCAUAAGGGAGCUUGACUGCGAGACCUACAAGUCGAGCAGGGUCGAAAGACGGACUUAGUGAUCCGGUGGUUCCGCAUGGAAGGGCCAUCGCUCAACGGAUAAAAGCUACCCCGGGGAUAACAGGCUUAUCUCCCCCAAGAGUUCACAUCGACGGGGAGGUUUGGCACCUCGAUGUCGGCUCAUCGCAUCCUGGGGCUGUAGUCGGUCCCAAGGGUUGGGCUGUUCGCCCAUUAAAGCGGUACGCGAGCUGGGUUCAGAACGUCGUGAGACAGUUCGGUCCCUAUCCGUCGUGGGCGUAGGAAAUUUGAGAGGAGCUGUCCUUAGUACGAGAGGACCGGGAUGGACAUACCUCUGGUGUACCAGUUGUCGUGCCAACGGCAUAGCUGGGUAGCUAUGUGUGGACGGGAUAAGUGCUGAAAGCAUCUAAGCAUGAAGCCCCCCUCAAGAUGAGAUUUCCCAACUUCGGUUAUAAGAUCCCUCAAAGAUGAUGAGGUUAAUAGGUUCGAGGUGGAAGCAUGGUGACAUGUGGAGCUGACGAAUACUAAUCGAUCGAAGACUUAAUCAA